Molecule: unclassified non-coding RNA, 234 nt
Filed under: Ascomycota sp.
Lineage: Eukaryota; Fungi; Ascomycota
Description: partial contains small subunit ribosomal RNA, internal transcribed spacer 1, and 5.8S ribosomal RNA
Rfam family: Eukaryotic small subunit ribosomal RNA (bases 1-47)
Source: RNAcentral
AAAGUCGUAACAAGGUUUCCGUAGGUGAACCUGCGGAAGGAUCAUUACCGAGAGCCCCCUCCCGUGCCGCAAGGUCGGGCGGCGGCCAUUCUCACACCCUUUUUUAUGCGCACCUUUUGUUCUUCCUCGGCGGGGCGACCCGCCGACGGAACACAUCAACCCUUUUGCAUGCAGUAUUACUUGUUCUGAUACCCUAAAUCGUUACAACUUUCAACAAUGGAUCUCUUGGCUCUG